UUCGUUCGUUCAAGCGCUCUAAUAUCUAAAUCUUCAUAUCAGAUUGGAAAAAUUGUAUAUUUUGCCAUAGAGUAAAUAGAGAGUAUAUAGAACAAGAAACUUUAAUGCGUAGAGAGGAAAGUCAUAUUACUAGAAAAAUGUUGAAUGUGCAAGUGGAAGGUCAUAAGAGGAAAGGAAGGCCAAAGAAGAGAUGGUUGGAUUGUGUGAAAGAGGACAUGUGUGUAAAAGGAGUGGAUGAUGAGUUGACGAGUAAUAGAAACGAAUGGAAAAGAUUGAUAUAUUUUUCCGACCCCACUUAAGUGGGAUAAGGGUAAGGAGAUGAUGAUAGAACAAGAAACUUUAUUAGAAAAUAUUACUCUUUAUUAAUUAAAGUAUAAUAUGAAAGUCCUUGAUAGCCCAGUGGAUAUGACCUCUGUCUCCGAUUCCGGUGGGUGUGGGUUCGAAUCCGGUACGGGACAUGCACCUCCAACUUUUCAGUUGUGUGCAUUUUAAGAAAUUAAAUAUUACGUGUCUCGAAUGGUGAAGGAACAACAUCGUGACGAAACCCGCGUAUUAGAAAAUUUUCUCAAUUUUCUGCGUGUGUGAAGUCUGCCAAUCCGCAUUGGGCCAGCGUGGUGGACUAUUGGCCAAACCCCCCCAAUUCUUAGAGGAGACUCAAGCUCAGCAGUGUGCCGAAUAUUACUUGAUAAUGAUGAUGAUGAUGUUUAAUUAACGUAUAUAAUCGGCACGUUAGUAUCAUUAUAAUUAUUUCGGAUACACUAAACAACACUUCCACAGCCUAACUUCUUUAGUCUAAACUACAGAAAAUACUUUAACUUGAACACUUGUAACAAGACGACAGUCGAUACUCAGCUAACUCAAUUAUCAGAGGUCCUGACCACCUCCGUUGCAAUCUCCCACCAUCAAUCCUUUUACAAACAUUCACUGUUGGCGGGAGCCAAUCAUGAGUUCAACUUUUGGGGGAAGCCAAUAGCGAUGUUGCACGAUGUCAGGCGAACUAGACAGUGCUGCCAAUUUAAGUAUUUUUAGUCUAUGUUAUUGUUAUUUACAUACAUUUACAUAUUUCACAUUUUAUAAUUAACCUAAUAAACUAUUUAUUAAAAUGCGGCGGCGUCGUUGCUUCGCGGCGACAACAAGUAUAAUAUAAAAGUCCUUUAUAUAUCAAAUUUAAUUAUUGGAAAAUAGUAUUUAAGGUUAAAAUACAAAAUAACUAUUGAUAAUUUUUCCUAUAAAUUUUAGGGGAACAAAAUAUGUAAAUAAAAAUCGAUUUUGUCAUAGACAAAGACACGGGUGUCUACUAGUCAUACAAUAUAAGAAACGACACAAAAACCCAUUAUUGUAUUUUAGUUAUUGCAAUUUAACUGAUCGUGAUAAUAAUCUGGUAUGCAAAACACGGGUCGGUAUGAAUUAAAAAACAAAUCUCCGCCACCUAAUCCGGAGGGUGUGGGUUCGAAUCUGGACCGGGGCAUGCACCUACAACUUUUGUUGUGUGCAUUUUAAGAAAUUAAAUAUCACGUGUCUCAAACGGUGAAGGAAAAACAUCGUGAGGAAACCUGCAUACCACAGAAUUUUCUUAAUUUUCUUGUGAAGUCCGCCAUUGGGCCAGCGUAGUUGACUAUUGGCCUUACCUCUCUCAUACUGAGAGGAGACUCGAAUGAGCAGUGAGCCGAAUAUGGGUUGAUAAUGAUGAGUUGUGAGACAAGCCAGAAUUUGUGUUAUAUUUACCUUAGUUGGUAGUUAUGUGUUUAUAUGACAUAAUAAAGUCAAACAUAAAUUAGAAAAGGUUAUGGGGCUAAAAAGACCCUGUAUACAAGCUAACUAUAUAUAAAUCAUUCCCACUAGAAACGUGUUAAGCUAUUGAAGCUUUACUAAUUAACAUAAAAUCACGUGAAGCUGGUAGGUACGUAGGAGAAACUCUUUGAUUCCAUCUACUCGUAGUUCGUAGAAUUCGCAACAUAUUGUUGCACUUAAAGGGUUGGUAAUACCUAAUAUUAAACGUUUCAAACUAGUACGCAAAUACCUGGAUCACGUGUUUAAUCCGAUACAGGUGUAUUUAUUAGUUUCAAAAUCAACACGUGCUUAAAUCCAAAUCCAAAUCCGCCCAACAUGAAAUCAUGCUAAGGGUAAGAAAGUUUUAAUUAAUUAAUUUUUAACGAUCUACUACAGGUUACCAGUGUAACAGGUAACCAAGGGCUCUGGUGCGAAUAAAAAAAUGGGGCCCCAGUACUAUCUAAACUGGUUAGGUUUUAUCCAGUAAAAUAUUAAAUACUAGCGGACGUCCGCAACUUCAUCCGCGUUGAAUUCGUUUUUCACAAAUCCCACGGGGACUAUGGAUUUUUCCGGGAUGAAAAAUAGCCUAUGUUAAUCCAGAGUGAAAUCUAUUUCCAUUUCAAAUUUCAGCCAAAUCAUUUCAAUAGCCGCAGCGUAAAGGAGGAACAAACAUACACACAUACACACACAAACUUUCGCCUUUAAAAUAUUAGUGUGAUACCCGUGCGAUUUUACAACGUUUACAGUUUUUCUGUAGCGUAUUUAGUAUGAGCAUUGCACCCGUGCAAAGCCGGGGCGGGUCGUUAGUUAUACUUAUAAACCUUCCUCUUCAAUCACUCUAUCUAUAAAAAAAACCGCAUCAAAAUUCGUUACGUAGUUUUAAAGAUUUAAGCAUACAUAGGGACAUAGGGAUAUAGGGACAGUGAAAGCGACUUUGUUUUGUACUAUGUAAUGAUAGUGAUAUACAAAGUUCUACAAUUUCAGUUCAAUCGCAAAUUUCUGGUACUCUCUAAAAGAGUACUCCUUCUAACAUAAAAAUAAUUUUCACAAUCUAUUCUAGUAUUAUAAAGCUAAAGAGUUUGUUUGUUUGAUUGUACGCGCUAAUCUCAGGAACUACUUUACCGAUUUGAAAAAUUAUUUCAGUGUUAGAUAGCUAAUUUAUCGAAGAAGGCUAUAUAUUAGCUCCGUAUUCCUACUGGAACAGGUACCUCGCGGGUAAAACCGCGCGGCAUCAGCUAGUUGGUUAAUAAAUGACGAAGUUAUGAGGUAACAAACAAUGAAAAAAAAACAUACACGUCGAAUUGAGAGAACCUCCUCUUUUUUGAAAUCGGUUGAAAAGUUUUUAAGCACGAUUAAUCGAUGUAGGUAAGUUUCCGUCUUCGUAGGCGUACUUGUUCAAACAAUAGUAACAAUAGUGAACGACAAAACAGUAUAAUUAGAGCAAGAUGAUUUGUAUGGUACAGCACCAUACAAGGAUGUCAUUCGUAGUAUGUACUUUAAGACUGUGAAUAUACUGAAUCGACUUAGUGAGUAGGUUGAGAUAUGGCAGUACAAUAUGAAUUUGACAAUACAAUGAUGAUUUAUUUUCGGUAACAUUCCUUUUUUUUAUUUAUAGCUUUAUUAUUAUAUCUUGGCUUUUGUCAAUUAAGCUUAACAAAAUUUGUAAAAAGCCGCGUACUACAACCAAACUAGGUCAUUUAUUAUGAUAAAUUGAUAAAUCCCACUUUUAAUAAUUUCAAGUAUUUUUGUUUUACUAAGAAGGCUGGUGGGAGGCUUCGGCCGUGGCUAGUUACCACCCUAACGACAAAGACGUACCGCCAAGCGAUUCCGCGUUCCGGUACGAUUUCGUGUAGAAACCGAAAGGGAUGUAGGUUUUCAUCCUCCUCCUAACAAGUUAGUCCGCUUUCAUCUUAGAUUGCAUCAUCACUUACCAUCAGAUGAGAUUGUAGUCAAGGUCUAACUUGUAAAGAGUAAAAAUAAGGUAUCGUUAGAUUUAUACAGUUUUGUAAUAUUAUAAGAAGACGAAAGUCUUCGAACGGUGCGUGUUGUCACUUGUCAGUGAUGACCUACGGAUCCGAGACUUGGUCGCUAACUAUGGGCCUCAUAAGAAGGCUCAAAGUAACACAGCGGGUAAUGGACCCAGCUAUCAAGCUCUUCGUGAUCGAAUCAGUCAGAUAUCUUCAAAAUUAUACAGCUUUAUAGUGUGAGGCAUGUGUAAGGUCCCUUGUCCUUACUGUAAUAGAGUAAAUCACGGCUUCAUCACUACACUAUUAUGGCCUGCACCGGACGUCCGAUCUCCACCAACGACAAUGACAGAGAGCUCUUUCUCUUUACCCCUUCACUCCGAGUAUAUAUGACACAGUGAAUAUAUGUAUCUAUUUAGUAGAUACUAACACUACAGUAGGUAUAUAUAUUUAAACGUUGAAUUUGUAUGUGAAACAAUAAAAUUAUAAUUCGUAUUUUUUUCGUCAGAAACGAAGGCCCUUUUAUUGUAACAAAAACUUUAUUAAACAAUAACAAAUUAAUUAUCUUACUUGUCAUUUUAAUUAGUGUUUUUUUUAUUUAUUUUCUUAUAGAUAAAAUGGUGAAUUAAAUUAACCUUCAGUGUAUUCUCAGCUUUAGCUUCCGUGAUAGCUCAGUUGUCACAAUAUAGAUUUAAAACCAUGUCUUAUUUUUUUCAAUAGCCAUUAUGUUAGAAGUUCAAGGUUAUGAUUUUAGUAUAUAAUGGUCCUUUGACAAAUCAUGCAAUGUAUUCGUAUUUAACGAUUCACGAUGUUCUACAAAUUGAUCUUCCUUUUCGCCUUGCUUGCUGUGGCGUUCGCUGCCCCGCACCCUGACCCCAAGCCUCAGUACUUGACUUACUCUCCAGCCCUCAACUACCUGUACCCAGCGUCUGCCGUACCCUCGGUCUCUGCUUACUCAGCUCCGGUGCUUACUCCGUAUACGUACUCUGCUUACCCUAAUCCUGUGUUUGUGCGUUAGAAUGUUACGAUGAUUGUAAAACUGUAGCAUGAUUAAAUAUUAUCCGGCCGCCUUUUUAUAUUAAACGAUGUUAUAAUUAUAAAUUAA
Molecule: long non-coding RNA, 4839 nt
Organism: Bicyclus anynana (squinting bush brown)
Lineage: Eukaryota; Metazoa; Arthropoda; Insecta; Lepidoptera; Nymphalidae
Exons: 2
Source: RefSeq, a predicted model, not a curated record